Fragaria vesca subsp. vesca is the source of this 680-nucleotide RNA transcript. RefSeq lists it as uncharacterized. The transcript is spliced from 3 exons. The record is from RefSeq and is a predicted model, not a curated record. NCBI's taxonomy places the organism in Eukaryota, Viridiplantae, Streptophyta, Magnoliopsida, Rosales, Rosaceae.
GGAGGAAAAUAAGGACAAGUGACGUCACUUUGUUUACUCGAUAGAUGAUGAUGAUCGAGUAGCUCUACGAUUGUUGUUUACUCGAUAGUGUUUCUGCAUGUGUGUAUUUGAUCAGUUUAUGGACUCUGCGUUUGAUUUGAGUUUGUUUGAUUGGCAAUUGGGGCUUUCUUAGUUUGUGUUGGAUUUUCUCUCCGAGUACAAUUGAUUCAUUGAUACUGGUUUCAUGUAUCUCAAUGCUGGGUCGUUCUGCAUUGCUCAGUUUCGAAACUCAGACAGUUUAGCAUUGUGUUCUUCCUUUAUGGAUCAUGCAAGUACCAAUCAAAAUUUCUCAACAGUGGGGAACUCUUUUAUCUGUGGUCUCUGCUCCUUCACAUGGAUAGGUUCCCAUUAAUGUCCACAUUUCCAUUCCUACAGCCUGAGGAGUGGAACCUGAUGGAGGCUUGUUUCAACCACACAUACGUUAGUCUAUGUCGAGGCUGGUAAUCUAGCUGGAAACUCGAAGGCGAUGGACAAAAAAAAACUGCAAAAGGAAUCCUUACUGAGAGUGAAGUGAUCAGUCGGCAUUCUCUGGGAAAUGUCUCAAGGUAUUCUUGCCGCUGGGUUUGUAUUCUUACCAGUUUACUGAAAUCCAGUAAGUGCUCAAUGCUCUAGAAAUAGAAUUGGUUUUUACUGGUUUCAAA